This 445-nucleotide ribosomal RNA is filed under the name Rhizobiales bacterium ST7-4. RNAcentral describes it as "bacterial SSU rRNA". It matches the Rfam family "Bacterial small subunit ribosomal RNA", at positions 98 to 578 of the family's 1533-position model. The record is from RNAcentral. Lineage: Bacteria; Pseudomonadati; Pseudomonadota; Alphaproteobacteria; Hyphomicrobiales.
GCGCACGGGUGAGUAACGCGUGGGAAUAUGCCCUUCGGUUCGGAAUAACACAGGGAAACUUGUGCUAAUACCGGAUACGAUCUACGGAUGAAAGAUUUAUCGCCGAGGGAGUAGCCCGCGUAGGAUUAGCUAGUUGGUGAGGUAAUGGCUCACCAAGGCGACGAUCCUUAGCUGGUCUGAGAGGAUGAUCAGCCACACUGGGACUGAGACACGGCCCAGACUCCUACGGGAGGCAGCAGUGGGGAAUAUUGGACAAUGGGCGAAAGCCUGAUCCAGCCAUGCCGCGUGAGUGAUGAAGGCCUUAGGGUUGUAAAGCUCUUUCGCCAGGGAAGAUAAUGACGGUACCUGGAAAAGAAGCCUCGGCUAACUCCGUGCCANCAGCCGCGGUAAGACGGAGGAGGCUAGCGUUGUUCGGAAUUACUGGGCGUAAAGCGUGCGCAGGUUG